GACGAACGCUGGCGGCGUGCUUAACACAUGCAAGUCGAACGGAAAGGCCCUGCUUGCAGGGUGCUCGAGUGGCGAACGGGUGAGUAACACGUGGGUGAUCUGCCCCUUACUUUGGGAUAAGCCUGGGAAACUGGGUCUAAUACUGGAUAGGACCAUGCUGUAGGUGGUGUGGUGGAAAGAUUAGUUUCGGUAAGGGAUGAGCUCGCGGCCUAUCAGCUUGUUGGUGGGGUAAUGGCCUACCAAGGCGUCGACGGGUAGCCGGCCUGAGAGGGUGGACGGCCACAUUGGGACUGAGAUACGGCCCAGACUCCUACGGGAGGCAGCAGUGGGGAAUAUUGCACAAUGGGCGCAAGCCUGAUGCAGCGACGCCGUGUGGGGGAUGACGGCCUUCGGGUUGUAAACUCCUUUCAGCCAUGACGAAGCCCUUGUGGUGACGGUAGUGGUAGAAGAAGCACCGGCUAACUACGUG
This 469-nucleotide ribosomal RNA is filed under the name uncultured bacterium. RNAcentral's name for it is "partial 16S ribosomal RNA". It matches the Rfam family "Bacterial small subunit ribosomal RNA", at positions 28 to 507 of the family's 1533-position model. The record is from RNAcentral.